CAGAAGCUCUUAUCUCCUUCUUUCUCCUUCCAUGUCGAGAAGAACAGAUCGUCUGUUGAAGAACCUGAAUCAGUUCGCCGAUGCUUAGUACAAACAAUUCUUGGCCCAUUACGGGCAACAAGUCAUAGACAUUCUCGACUUCCCCAUCAAACUUGUCCUGUCUCCUUUCGCUCUCGCCUUCGACAUCGCUGGUUUUGCUCCUCGCGUUUUCGGCAUCCCCGAGUUCAUCUCUAAACUAUCUUAUCUCUCCGUCUUUGGAUUGCAAGACUUGCAAUGGAUGGCAAGCGUUAAGGUGCACCAUGUGCAAAGGAACGGGGAAGGUUCAUUAUCAAAUAAAGGAUUACAACUUGAGAAGUGGAGAGAAGGCGACAGCAAAUAGUUGCAGAUGCCAUUGUUGGGAAUAGAGCUGAGUUGGUGCAUCUUCCAUCAUCCAUUAACCUUAGCAUACCAUUGCUUUCAAAAGAAUGUCCGACCUGUGAUGGAACAAUGAGAUGCUUUCCCACAUCGCAUUUAUUCCAGAGGCUAAUAUUUAUUUGAUUGCAUAGCUGAUUGUUCACAUUAACUUGGUUUGGAUGUCGCUGCUACUUCCAAAUUUGUAUUCACGUUGGCAUAUGGUAGUUUGGAUGUUGUUUUAGAAAAAGUAUUUGCCUGCACUUUGAGGAUAGGAAAGGUAGUCCAUCUUUAUCGCAUUGUACGCUAAUUUAUUGUGGAACAUCUUUUCAUGAUGUAGGGUGUGAUGAGUUGUCCUGAGUGCAAGAACAAACUGCAAGUCAAAAUCUCAACCGAUGAUAUAUGUCGUUUGUCUGUCAUUACUGUGUAUCAGUUUUUUGGGUCAUGUCAGCAUACACCACAUAGAUCUAUAUUGAAAUUGGAGGAAUAAUUAUAGUAAAUAUCGACAUCUAGAAAAGGGAUGGUAUUGAUUAGGUAUAGUUUCUAGAAAUUGUGAUCACCAAAGAAUAUUUUUGGCAUAGAACUCUCCUUAUGAAAUGUUUAAUAUCUUAUAUGUGCAUUACAUAUAUAUUACUGCUGCAGAUCAUGGAACUUCUAUGGAAAGCCUACAAUGUGAUGAAGAAGAUGGAUUAUCCAUAUGAGCUCAGCCUUAAGUCCAUUUGUGCACUUAAUGCAUGAUAUGUUUACCAUGUCUUGUAAUUUCUCUGGUUGUGUUUUUCUAUUUCAGCACAUCAUCCACAACAUGAAAGAUCCCAUAUGAUGAAGAUGUCAAGCGGAAAAUAUGGUGGCAAUAUGAGGUUCAGAGAAUUUCCAGCAUGGGCAGCUUGUCGUCAAAUUUGAGAAGGUUGCAGGUUAUACACUUUGGAAUCCAAAAUAAUGAAUCUCAAAUUGCUAUGGAGUUUUGUUAGACUAUAGUAAAGAUCAUUCCAACUCUGAGGAUACUGAUAUGCAGGACCUUCAUGGAAUCUAUGCGAUAUGAUCAACUUCAGGAUUUGGUGGCUAGGCGAAAUCCUGGCUGGGAAUGCUUGCAGGAAUUUAUCCAUUACCGGCAUUGAUCUCCAUGUCCGUGCGCGGGAAGACCUUGUAAUAGUGAAAAAUGUUCCCUAUUACAAAGCAAAGAAAGCAUGGGAAGCUGAAGUCAUGAACCUCGAUGUGCCAACCCGUCCACAGAACUGGGGUGAGUUGAACCUUCCAUUGGAUUCUUCUUCUUAGACUGAAGAGGAACUCAAAGACCCUGCAAAACUGUACGAGAAGACUGUUCUUCUCAACGCUCAAAGAGAAAUCGCUGACACGAUUUUGGAUGCACAGUGGAAAACUAAAUGGCAUCAAGAGAAGGUUAAUCUCACAUCUCUUAUGUCAUUCAAGAAAACAAAUAUACAAUUUUUUUGUGAAGAUUUGCCCUCCUACUCCGACCAUGUUUGAGGUUUUAAACAAUAUUCUGCCAAUGAAAGAGUAGAAAGGAAAUGAAAAGAUACAACACACCGAGAUUUUUUAUAGUGAUUA
This is an RNA transcript of Tarenaya hassleriana, 1953 nucleotides long. RefSeq lists it as uncharacterized. Lineage: Eukaryota; Viridiplantae; Streptophyta; Magnoliopsida; Brassicales; Cleomaceae. The record is from RefSeq and is a predicted model, not a curated record. The transcript is spliced from 7 exons.